CUCACGGCUUUAGUCAGCGGGUGUGACUCCGGUUCGUGCUGUAGCCCCCCCCACCCCCGGGGGGGGGAGUUGAAGCCCAGCCCUAAAAGCUUCCAGGAGGGGCCGGAGCUGUGGCCCUGCGGGUUAGGCCAAGGCCUGCGGCGCGGCACCCUCGCUUCCUUUCCUUUUCCGGUCUUUCACGAAGUCGGCUCCCCUGCGCCCUCCUCCCGCAGUCCUGCCGGGGGCGCCCCGCGUCCAGCGCUAGCCGCGGUUAAUCCUCCGGUUCUCGUUCCUUGCUCUGCCUGGAGCUUAGUCUCCUCCGAGGUCAGGAGGCCAUCAUGCGUCUCUGCUCCCUCGCGGUGUGAGCGUGCACGCUGCAGGCCUGAGCCUCCCCGCACAGCCCUGCCGCAUCCUGUCUCCCGCGCUGCAUUUCUGCGUUCACUCCGCGGGUUUCCCUGGGCCCGUGAGCGACGCAGCCUCGUGAACGCGCGUCUCCCGGGAGACACACGCAGGAAAGCGCCUACCCCGCGCUCUCAGCUCACGGGGCUCCCUCCCGCAGGGCCCCGUGCAGGGCGCGGGGAGGUGGGCUCUGAGAGCACUGGGGCGCCGGCACCAUUUCUCCUUUUGCACCGUUUUCAUCCAUUAAGGACAGGUCCCGUGCCGCGCGCCGCCCCCGCCUCCGCCCGCCCUGCCAUCUGGAACCCCGUGCUCCCGCGCAGCCGCGCUGUGCCUGCGCCGAGGGGCUUUCCACGUCGGAGUCCUGCUGGGCUCAGCUUCCUGCGGCGAAGGGGCUGCGCCCAGCACGCGUCAAGCAUCACACAUCACUCAUCACACCCGUCACGCCCGUCUGUCCUUUGGGGUGGGCAGAACACCAGCGGGAGCCGGUGGGUGCUUUGGGGCAGCCUGGACCCAGGCCCCCGGCUGGGUCGGGCACCGCUGUCCACUCUCCCAACGCCCGGUCUUGGGAAACCCCGCAGGGUAGGGGGCACUCCCCCAGCCCGGCCCCUCACUUAUGGCCCCGGUGCCUCAGGCGCACAUCUACUCCCUGGCGGCCACGCUGAAGGCGGCCCUGGAGUACGCGGUGGAGCCGGAGCCGGAGCCCAGGCUGAGCACGGAGCUGGAGACGCUGCUGAGCCAGAUGCAGGCGGAGGAGCCCGCAGACAGACCCCGCCUGGAGAGCGUCAUCGCGCUGUGCCGGGAGAAGACGCGGCCCACGUCCUCUUGCCACGUGUGCGGAGCCUCUCCGCCGUCGGCAGCCGCGUGCUCUCCAUCGAGUCCUUUGGCGCCUUUCAGGGUAAGAGAGCGCCCCCCCCCCACGCACACACAUCUGCCCACGCACGUACAUGCAACCACACGCCCACACAGCCACCUACACACAAUCCCAGGCACACUCAUACUUACUAAACCCCCACGCCCCCUGGACUCACACACAUGGGUAUUCAAACAGAUCACAUAGGAAGGGUACUUCAAAAAGUUCACGGAAAACAGCAUUGAAGAUGAUGUCAUUUUGGUGCAAAAACCGGUUUUUGAAAUCCGUACAUACCAGGUCUUCAAGAAGCUCAUGAAAACGCAUUUUUGCAAAAACCUAGCAGAGACUUCAAAGCAUGCCAGGCCGGCACUGGGCACCUUGGGGACAGGUGCAGGUGCAGGCGCAGGCACAGCGCCACUCAGUUAGCUCAUCCCCUCUGCCAGCGCCACUGCAUGCCGGCAGGUGCAUUCCCUUCUGCACGCUCAAAGCUGUGGGGUUUCCACAGCUCACGGGGACUCCGCCUGUCUGAGCUCAGAGCCAGCAAGGGCCAGUAGGGUCCCGUCUCAGGGACAGCGCUCACUUGGGAGAAGGUUUCACCUGGUUCUCGUUCUCCCUCAGGAACCACUUGAGACUUUGACCAGCCCUCGGAUGAGAAACCGGGUGUCCACGGGACGUGUGUGGUGUUGUGCGGAGCGGGCGGGGGAGCCCUGGUGGAGGCUGGGGUGGGUGCCAUGCUGGCGGCUCCAUGUCGCUGUCUCUGCUGUGAACGCCUCUAGCUUUGUGUCCAGAUUUGAGUGACAGCACCUGGAGGGCGAUGCCUGCACCGAGAAGUGUGGGGCCCAGAAGGCCCCCAGGG
Molecule: long non-coding RNA, 2084 nt
Organism: Oryctolagus cuniculus (rabbit)
Lineage: Eukaryota; Metazoa; Chordata; Mammalia; Lagomorpha; Leporidae
Source: Ensembl